This 301-nucleotide ribosomal RNA is filed under the name uncultured bacterium. RNAcentral describes it as "partial 16S ribosomal RNA". It matches the Rfam family "Bacterial small subunit ribosomal RNA", at positions 509 to 807 of the family's 1533-position model. The record is from RNAcentral.
CAGUAGCCGCGGUAAAACGUAGGGUGCAAGCGUUAAUCGGAAUUACUGGGCGUAAAGCGUGCGCAGGCGGUUAGAUAAGCCAGAUGUGAAAUCCCCGAGCUCAACUUGGGAACUGCGUUUGGAACUGUUUAACUAGAGUGCGUCAGAGGGGGGUGGAAUUCCGCGUGUAGCAGUGUAAUGCGUAGAGAUGCGGAGGAACACCGAUGGCGAAGGCAGCCCCCUGGGAUGACACUGACGCUCAUGCACGAAAGCGUGGGGAGCAAACAGGAUUAGAUACCCCCGUAGUCCCUGUCUCUUAUAC